This 459-nucleotide ribosomal RNA is filed under the name Atractiellales sp. nc_besc_803e. RNAcentral's name for it is "eukaryotic LSU rRNA". The stretch from base 34 to 187 matches the Rfam family "5.8S ribosomal RNA". The record is from RNAcentral. Lineage: Eukaryota; Fungi; Basidiomycota; Atractiellomycetes; Atractiellales.
AAGUCUUGAAAGUACUUUUGUAUAAUCUAGUAAAACUUAUAGCAACGGAUCUCUUGGCUCUCGUAUCGAUGAAGAACGCAGCGAAAUGUGAUAAGUAAUGUGAAUUGCAGAAUUCAGUGAAUCAUCGAAUCUUUGAACGCAUCUUGCGCUCUUUGGUAUUCCGAAGAGCAUGUCUGUCUGAGUGUCACGAAACUCUCAACCUCCUUUCCUUUGUGAUCGGCUGGUUGGAUCAUGGGCGCUUGCCGGCCAGGUCGGCUCGCCUGAAAUGCAUUUGCGAUGUUGUGUCCUUGUGAGUUGGCCCGACUAGGCGUGAUGGUAACGACGUUCGUCUAGGAUCCCGCUUCGGCGAGGAGCCGCUCCUGUUGGGCGUUUGCCUUCGCAUGAACACUCAUAUCUUUGGUUUAGACCUCAGAUCAGGCAGGAUUACCCGCUGAACUUAAGCAUAUCAAUAAGCGGAGG